Molecule: transfer RNA, 63 nt
Filed under: Staphylococcus aureus
Lineage: Bacteria; Bacillati; Bacillota; Bacilli; Caryophanales; Staphylococcaceae
Also listed under: 15 other names
Rfam family: tRNA
About the family: Transfer RNA (tRNA) molecules are approximately 80 nucleotides in length.
Source: RNAcentral
GGUAGCUCAGCUGGAUAGAGCAAUGGCCUUCUAAGCCAUCGGUCGGGGGUUCGAAUCCCUCCC